Molecule: ribosomal RNA, 433 nt
Filed under: uncultured bacterium
Lineage: Bacteria
Description: partial 16S ribosomal RNA
Rfam family: Bacterial small subunit ribosomal RNA
Source: RNAcentral
AACGAACGCUGGCGGCAUGCCUAACACAUGCAAGUCGAACGAGACCUUCGGGUCUAGUGGCGCACGGGUGCGUAACGCGUGGGAACCUGCCCUUAGGUUCGGAAUAACUCCCCGAAAGGGGUGCUAAUACCGGAUAAUGUCUUCGGACCAAAGAUUUAUCGCCUUUGGAUGGGCCCGCGUUGGAUUAGCUAGUUGGUAGGGUAAAAGCCUACCACGGCGACGAUCCAUAGCUGGUCUGAGAGGAUGGUCAGCCACACUGGGACUGAGACACGGCCCAGACUCCUACGGGAGGCAGCAGUGGGGAAUAUUGGACAAUGGGCGAAAGCCUGAUCCAGCAAUGCCGCGUGAGUGAUGAAGGCCUUAGGGUUGUAAAGCUCUUUUACCCGGGAUGAUAAUGACAGUACCGGGAGAAUAAGCUCCGGCUAACUCCGUG